Molecule: ribosomal RNA, 254 nt
Filed under: uncultured bacterium
Lineage: Bacteria
Description: partial 16S ribosomal RNA
Rfam family: Bacterial small subunit ribosomal RNA
Source: RNAcentral
UACGUAGGGGGCAAGCGUUGUCCGGAAUCAUUGGGCGUAAAGCGCGUGUAGGCGGCUGAGUAAGUCUGCUCUGAAAGCCCGGGGCUCAACCCCGGGAGGCGGGUGGAUACUGCUCAGCUCGAGUCCGGUAGGGGAGUGUGGAAUUCCCGGUGUAGCGGUGAAAUGCGCAGAUAUCAGGAGGAGCCAACAGUGGCGAAGGCAGAUCUCUGGGCCGUAACUGACGCUGAGGAGCGAAAGCAUGGGGAGCGAACAGG